Daphnia pulex (common water flea) is the source of this 445-nucleotide long non-coding RNA. RefSeq lists it as uncharacterized. The record is from RefSeq and is a predicted model, not a curated record. The transcript is spliced from 3 exons. Lineage: Eukaryota; Metazoa; Arthropoda; Branchiopoda; Diplostraca; Daphniidae.
AAUAGGUGGCUGUGAAUAAGUGGCUGAAAUGAUGUCCACCAGGUGGCGCGAAUCUCUUCGGGGACGCUUAUCGGCCAUUUUGAUCCAAGACGCAGCAGAAGUGGGUUGUUGGUUGUGACGUUUCUCACGAUGAAAAUUAUAAGGUGAUUUAGCAUGUAGAAACCAAUUUGCCAAAUCAUUCAACUCAAGACUUGGGAAGUGCCUGUACAUUUCCGAAAUGGCGUGCCUCGUGUGUCUCGCUGCCUGUUCUUUGGCUUACGUCUCACCCCAAUCAACAGUAAAAAGUAAAAGAAAUGCUGGUGGUUACCUUGUUUCAGCCAAAUGGUGAAAGGUGUGACAAAGACAGAUUGAACCGUUGUUGUAUGCUGAAUGUGAUUGCAGUGUAAUCCAGAAGUUGCUGUGCUGUUGUAGCUGUUCCAUCUGGGUUCCUGACUUCACAAUUUUU